AUGCCGGCCAGCAGCCACCCGCCGUCGCCGGCGUCUCCGCUAGAGGACGACAACCUGCUACCCCAGAUCCUCCUCCGCCUUCCUCCGGAUCCUUCCUCGCUCCCGCGCGCAUCCCUCGCUUGCACGCGCUGGCGCAACCACGUCGCCGACCCGGGAUUCCGCCGCCGAUUCCGCCUCCACCACCGCCGCAACCCUCCCCUCCUCGGCUUCUUCGACGGGUGCGGAAGCCUGGACUUCAUGCCGACGCUGGAGGCCCCCGACCGCGUCGCUCCCGAGCGCUUCUCGCUGCAGCGCGACGAGGGCGACGGCGUUUGCAGGCCGCUCGGAAGCCGCCACGGUCUGAUGCUAAUCAUAGUCCCCAAGCGUCUUCAGGUACUGGUGUGGGACCCCUUCACCGGCGACCAGCACCGCCUGGAUGUUCCCCCGGGGCUCACGACUAAUGGUUGGGAUGAGCGCCUGAUCAACGGGGCGGUGCUUCGCGCUGCCGCUGGAGACUCCGAGCACUUUCAGGUGGUCUUGGUGGCGGCAGACGGUGGGCAAGAAAACCGACGAGCAGUGGCCUGCGUCUACUCGUCGGAGACCGGCGCAUGGGGAGGGUUCAUCACAACACCCCUUCCAAACCAUGGUCAUGCGAGCAGCUUAUUUUCGAGGUAUUCCACCAGCGUUUACAUGGAUCAUGCUGUGUUGGCUGGAGAUUCCCUUUACUGGCAGCUCAUUGGGAAUUUCCAAGGAAUUCUCCAGUUUGAUUUGGAGAGGCAGAUGCUGGACGUAAUGCCGGUGCCGGUGCCAAUCUAUAGCAAGGGCAACUGCUUCAAGCUUAUGCGGGCCAAGGGUGGUGGUGGUGGGAUAGGUUUCCUCUUCAUGUCCAAUUCAAACUACAUUGCCCAGCUAUGGAGCAGGAAGACCGAUGCCGAUGGUGUUGCUUCAUGGGUGAUCGGAAGGUCUAUCGAACUCGACAAGUUACUUUCGCUCCGUUCAGGGAAGGAGAACAUAAGGAUCGUAGGGUUUGCAGAGGACAACAAUGUGGUACUCAUGGAUAUGCUAAGGGGCUUCUUCAUGAUCCAACUCGACUCAAUGCAGUUCAAGAAGCUUGCCAGACCCAAGGCAGCGGUGUCCUGUUGUCAUGCGUUUGAAAGCGUCUACGCUGCAUCUUCAACAUAUAUAUUGCGAUGA
This 1173-nucleotide ribosomal RNA is filed under the name Triticum aestivum (bread wheat). Its description in RNAcentral is "partial small subunit ribosomal RNA". Lineage: Eukaryota; Viridiplantae; Streptophyta; Magnoliopsida; Poales; Poaceae. The record is from RNAcentral.